UAGGAAGUGGUGUAGUGGGAGCACGAGGAUUUUUGAUGUCCUUAGGUUGGGUUCGAGUCCCUUUUUCCUAA
This 71-nucleotide transfer RNA is filed under the name Diceratias pileatus. RNAcentral's name for it is "tRNA-Gln". It matches the Rfam family "tRNA". Rfam says of the family: Transfer RNA (tRNA) molecules are approximately 80 nucleotides in length. Their secondary structure includes four short double-helical elements and three loops (D, anti-codon, and T loops). Lineage: Eukaryota; Metazoa; Chordata; Actinopteri; Lophiiformes; Diceratiidae. The record is from RNAcentral.